This 484-nucleotide ribosomal RNA is filed under the name uncultured bacterium. Its description in RNAcentral is "partial 16S ribosomal RNA". It matches the Rfam family "Bacterial small subunit ribosomal RNA", at positions 30 to 507 of the family's 1533-position model. The record is from RNAcentral.
AUUGAACGCUGGCGGCAGGCCUAACACAUGCAAGUCGAGCGGAUGAAGGGAGCUUGCUCCUGGAUUCAGCGGCGGACGGGAGAGUAAUGCCUAGGAAUCUGCCUGGUAGUGGGGGAUAACGUCCGGAAACGGGCGCUAAUACCGCAUACGUCCUGAGGGCGAAAGUUGGGGAUCUUCGGACCUCACGCUAUCAGAUGAGCCUAGGUCGGAUUAGCUAGUUGGUGGGGUAAAUGCCUACCAAGGCGACGAUCCGUAACUGGUCUGAGAGGAUGAUCAGGCACACUUGGAGUGAGACACGGUACAGACAACUACAGGAGGCCGCAGUGGGAAAUAUUGGACAAUGGGCGAAAGCCUGAUCCAGCCAUGCCGCGUGUGUGAAGAAGGUCUUCGGAUUGUAAAGCACUUUAAGUUGGGGGGAAGGGCAGUAAGUUAAUACCUUGCUGUUUUGACGGUACCAACAGAAUAAGCACCGGCUAACUUCGUG